CGAAAGCCUGACGGAGCAAUACCGCGUGAGGGAUGACGGCCUAUGGGUUGUAAACCUCUUUUUUCAGGGAGGAAUAAAUGACGUGUACCUGAAGAAUAAGCAUCGGCUAACUCCGUGCCAGCAGCCGCGGUAAUACGGAGGAGGCAAGCGUUAUCCGGAUUUAUUGGGCGUAAAGCGUCCGCAGGUGGCGAUUCAAGUCUGCUGUCAAAGCACGGGGCUUAACUCCGUAAAGGCAGUGGAAACUGAAUAGCUAGAGUGCCGUAGGGGUAGAGGGAAUUCCCGGUGUAGCGGUGAAAUGCGUAGAGAUCGGGAAGAACAUCGGUGGCGAAAGCGCUCUACUGGACGGCAACUGACACUCAGGGACGAAAGCUAGGGGAGCG
This 380-nucleotide ribosomal RNA is filed under the name uncultured cyanobacterium. RNAcentral's name for it is "bacterial SSU rRNA". It matches the Rfam family "Bacterial small subunit ribosomal RNA", at positions 376 to 770 of the family's 1533-position model. Lineage: Bacteria; Bacillati; Cyanobacteriota. The record is from RNAcentral.